Corticium candelabrum is the source of this 495-nucleotide long non-coding RNA. RefSeq lists it as uncharacterized. The transcript has 3 exons. NCBI's taxonomy places the organism in Eukaryota, Metazoa, Porifera, Homoscleromorpha, Homosclerophorida, Plakinidae. The record is from RefSeq and is a predicted model, not a curated record.
GUUUGAGUAACGCGCGUUAUAUAAGCCAUUCAUGAAGCGACAAAUUCGAAUUUCUCUCACUGUGAGAAAGAAACGGAAAUGCCGACCGCGUGGCAAGCGUUUUGAAGGACUAUUUGUUCUGGAGGCAAUUCUCUUUAUCAGGCGUUUAGCGAAGGAGGCGGCGUUAGAAGCGAAGAGAAAGAAAGCACUAACCAUAACGCGGGAGAUGGUGUCUACAGCCGCAAGGAGAGGUUUAAAGUCAAUGAAAGGAUGAAGGACAUUAGAAACCACACGUACUAUGUAUGUAUGUAUGUAUUCAUUCAGUAGCAGCAACAAUCAUCGACGAGUUCUGAGACAUAUGGAGAAGAUAUUGUAAUGACUUAAGUCAAAACUGAAAUUUAAAAAAUUAUAAAAAUAAUAAAAUGUAUUUUGUGUGUUUGGAUAUUUGGACAUGUGAUUUUAGUUGUAAUGAUUCGUCUUGUGUGGACUCAGUAACGUCACAACUAUGAUUGAUAU